AAGUUUUAAUUUAAGUUAAAAUAAGUGGUUGUUACCCGCUGAAUGGGGGAAUUCCCCAAGCUUGGU
Molecule: transfer RNA, 66 nt
Filed under: Lucinella divaricata
Lineage: Eukaryota; Metazoa; Mollusca; Bivalvia; Lucinida; Lucinidae
Description: tRNA-Asn
Source: RNAcentral